CUAGAGCACGUGACUCGGCAGGGCGGGAACUACAUUUCCCAGGAUACAUAGCGCAUAGUUUCAGAAACUGCUUCCAUCCGAGCUCUGGACUGGCGGGAGCCGACUCCGACCCCCCAAUUGACCUGAGAAGCCCAUAGGGCCAGGCCUCAGCCCUGGGAUUUCAUCGCAGCUCUUAAUAUCCCUCGAGUGGGUCUGAGUUUCCCCCGAGUGCCAGAGCCCGGGGCCCUUCCCCACCCCCUUGCGGGUUUUCUAGGUCUUGGAGACCCCAAAAUCCAGCCCCUCCCGUUUGAAAGGUGAGGAAUCAGGUCCGGAGCGGCUCCUAAGGCCCUCCCCCCGGGGCAAGGCGCAGGGUCAGGAUUUGAACCCAAUGCCUCUGGCCCCGCGCUGUCCCGGACGAAUGAAGCCUCCGGCAGCCCCUGGCUUCGCCUCUUGCCCGGGGUACUGUCCCGGGUGCGGAGCCCAGGUUUGGUGUCCGAGGCCAGGCAUGAGGACGCUGACCUCUGCUCAGAGAUCGGCUGUUUCGGUUCCCAGGGCGAGAUGAAGGCCACGCUGCCCACGGCGGUGGAGGAGAUCCUGAGCGAGAUCGCGGCCACGCACGGGGCCACGGCUCAAGUCCCCGACGAGCUCCUGUUGGCGCUGAAAUUUCUAUUUGGCCCAUCCGCUGUCCAGGCCUUGGAUCUUGUCGAUCGACAUUCCGUCACCCGCGUUUCCUCUCCCAGUGGAAGAACCAUCUACCAGGUGCUCGGGAGCUCCGGGAAGGUGUACACGUGUUUUGCCUCUUGCCAUUACUGCUCGUGCCCAGCCUUCGAGUUUUCUGUGCUUCGGAAGAGUGACAGCCUCUUGUGCAAGCAUCUCCUGGCCGUCUACCUCAGCCUGGCCCUGGGGGUGUGCCAGGACCUGAGCGUUUCUAACAAGCAGCUGUCUGGCCUCUUGUUGGCAGAGGAGGAUCAAGAACAGGCCUAAUGGGCACCCCCAAAGCCUCUGCGAAUCACCCAGCCAGGGAGUGUUCUCCACUUCUCUUUGCCGGCCGCAGAGACGCUGGACUGAAGGACCAAACACACAGAGCAGAAAGCAAUGACCUUCCCCAGACCCCCGAGGGUGCCAAGUACCCAAGCCCAUAGAAGAAUGGAAAGGAAGAGGAGCAUAUAUGUGAAUAAUGCAUAAGCUUGCAUGCAUACGUGUGUGUAUACACACACACACACACACACACCCCAUUAUCUCUCCCCAAAGGUUGUCGUGCUGGGAGACUCUGACCCCUGAGUUCCCACCAAGCUCUCCCCCUGGUUCCAAUACUAAAAAGUCAGAUCCAGGAAGCAAUCACUCCCCAAUCCCCUCACCUGUGUACUCAGUCCUCUUUCUUUACUCAAAGCAGCUCAUUAACUUGAGGAAUCAGUACAGAAAUAAUGGGGGGGGGGGAGAAGGGGGAAUGAGCCUCUCUGCUUACAUCAUGAGAAAGAAGGAAGAGUCAGGUGUCUGCAAUGAGCAGUGGCCCCUCCCUGGGAGCCCCUACUCUGCUCUCUCAAGCCCUGCCUCCCACAUCUCAUCUAAAGUAAUCAAGCCACUGUCUUUCUCCCAGGGUGGGCUCAGAAUCCCACUAGGAAGAGAUUAACCACCCCCCCCACUGUCCCCAAAAGCUAUGACUCUGAGUCUGCAAGGCUCAUGUGGCUUGAGCACAGCGAGCCCCUACAUCAGGAGACAGAGGGAAUCUGAAUACAAGAGCAUGAAGGGACCAACCACAGUUGUAGACAGCUGAUGCUGAAGCACCCUAUCCACCUCUUGCCAGAAAGUAAAGGACUUGGGGUGCAGAAUGAGGCAGACAUUUUUUGGAUAUGGUCAAUGCAGGAAUUUGUUUUGCUUUGACUAUGUAUGUUUGUUAAGAGGAUUAUUUUUCCUGUAGUAGUGAGUGAGUGGGAGAAAUAGAA
This is an RNA transcript of Dromiciops gliroides (monito del monte), 1922 nucleotides long. It is a transcript of the gene named zinc finger SWIM-type containing 7, with no coding region annotated. The record is from RefSeq and is a predicted model, not a curated record. Lineage: Eukaryota; Metazoa; Chordata; Mammalia; Microbiotheria; Microbiotheriidae. The transcript has 6 exons.